This is an RNA transcript of Quercus lobata, 1693 nucleotides long. RefSeq lists it as uncharacterized. Lineage: Eukaryota; Viridiplantae; Streptophyta; Magnoliopsida; Fagales; Fagaceae. The record is from RefSeq and is a predicted model, not a curated record. The transcript is spliced from 2 exons.
UAUAUAUAUAUAUUUGAGAUUGUCAGAAGUGGGAAUUACAUUUGGUUGUUUGGUUUUCACAAUUGAAAGGCAUCUUGAAGCAUAUGCAUAUCUUCCUAGGAGGUUAUCUACGUUCUUUGAUAAGAUUCUUCCCUAUGUUAAUUACAUUAUAUUCACAAAAAAUAAAUCACCUCAAUGUGCAAAAAUAUUUCUCUCUGAACCCUUCUUUUCUCAUUAUCUGAUACAUUCAUGACAUUUCUUUGAGAAAAUUAAUUAAAAAAAGAUUUUUUUUUUUUUUUUAACUUAAUUGAACUAUGUGCAGGAACUGUUUUCGGAUGUUGGUCACCUGAAAUGUCAUACAAUCCAUUAUGACAGGAGUGGAUUAGGUUCUUCCGAUGAAUUCUCUGUUCUGCUGUACUUUAUAAAAACAUUUUUUUCUUAGGGAACGGCUGAAGUAGUCUUCUCCAGACUAGGAGAUGCUGUGGUUGCUGUCAAGAAGUACAACAAUGUCCAGCUUGAUGGGAAACUAAUGAAGAUAGAGAGUGUGGGUGUAAACAUUGCGACACCUACUGUAGCUCCAGCAGCUAAUGGCACUGUUGGAAAUUUAAAUGGGAUUCCGAGAGGAUGCUGCAACUAUUACCUAUAGGGGCCACGUGUGGAAGGAGUCUCUUACCUUGGACUUGGUAGAUUUUUGUGGAAGAUGCACAAGAAUUAAGCCUAUGCUGUGCUGCUUUUGUGAUGUUCAUCCACUCUCUAAAUCUGGAUUCCUUUUUUCUUUUGAUAUUCAGAAUCAUGCACUAGCCUAAGGCUUUUUGGUCUGGGAGAGUUUUAUAUGUGCCUUCAUUGUUGUAGGUGACAAUCCUUGGAUUCAUGUGAUUAAAGCAUAUACUCCAUUCAUGCAUUGAUAUUCGGAAUCAUUCGCUAGCCUGUGGAAUCAGUUUUGUAUGUGUUUUCAUGGUUGAAGGUGACAAUGUCUGGAUUCUUGUGAAAACAAGUAGUUUUAAAGUAUACACUCCAUUCACACAUUGAUAUUCAGAGGGUUUGUCUGCGGAAGGAAUUUUGUAUGUCUCUUCAUUAUUGAAGGUGACAAUGCCAGGAUUCUUGUGAAAAUAAGCGGUUUUUAAGUAUAUACUCCAUUCGCACUGACAUCAGGGUCAAGAGUUGUUGCAGGCUUGUAAAUCAUUUUCAAUGCCAACACUCCAUAUUUUGUUGCUUGAUGGUGAAACAUUGGUGGUAUGGGUUUUAGUAAUGCUGUCUUGGUUGAGGAGUCAACUCUGAUCAGUCACUGGAUGUAAGUGCAUUGAAUGAUUCAUGUCUUGUUUUGUUGGCCAAUCCAAUGGCUUCUUUUAUGGGAAGAGAGUGACUCUUAUGUGCCUGGUUGAGGCGGGUUCCAAAAUGCUUUAGUUGUUGAUGGUACCAGACUCACAUGAGAGCAAGAGACUGCUUAGCUUUUGCUCUUCUUCUGAUUGAUUUCAGUGUUUGCAAUGUGAUUACCAUUCUAGUAGCUGCAGGAUCAUGUUUAGUACUACAUUCUACAUGGUAGUGCUCUGAAAUGACCGACGCUGCAUCUGCAUUCUGAGCUUGUCGGUAUUCCAAACUGAAAUCCAAAAAAAGAAUAGGCAAUGCUAGAAAUGCUUCUUUUGACUUUCGGUCUAAUUAUUGGAUAAUUCUGUUCGGUUAUUAUGUUAUGUUAACACAAGUAUGGUUUGACUUA